AUUAUUUUAAAAAGUGUUGUUUAAUCUCCAAGUAUUGUGGGGUUUUUCAGCCAUCUUUCUGUUAUUGAUUUCUAGUUUAAUUUCAUUGAGGUUUAAGAGCAUACUUUGUAUGAUUUCUGUUCUUUCAUAAUUGUGUUUUAUGGCCCAGAAUGUGAUCUGUCUUGGUCAUUGUUCUGUGUAAGGUUGAGAAGAAUGCAUCUUCUGCUACUGUUGGAUGAAGUAUUCUGUAGAUAUGAAUUAGAUCCAGGUGAUUAGUAGUGGUAUUCAUUUCAGCUGUGUUCUGCCUACUAGAUCUGUCAAUUACUGAUAGAGGGGUAUGGAAUUCUCCAACUAUAAAAGUGGAUUUGUGUAUUUUUCUUUGCAUUUCUAUUGGUUUUUGCAUCUCAUAUGUUUUAUACCAGUUAAAAUGCCUGCUAGUGUAGCUUUAAAAAAAAGGAAAAUAAGUCAGUUAAUAGAGUAACUAAAAAAAAUGCAUAAUGUUAGAGUGAAUGAAAAGACAAAUGCCUAACUUUAUGUUUUCUAUAAAAAACCCAUUUUAAAUAUAAAGAACAAAAUAUAAAAAAGAUAAAGAUAUACCAUGCUGACACUAAUCAAGUGAAAGUGGGAGUAGGUAUAUUAAUUUCAGACUGAACAGACUUCAGAGCAAGAAAAGUUAUUAGGGAUAAAGAAGAGUAUUACACAAUGAUAAAGAGGUCAGUUCCUCCAAUAAAACAUGUCUUUAGUGUAUACUUAACAACGACCGUUAGAAUAUCUUAGGCAAAAAUAGAUAGAACUGCAAGGAGAAAUAGAUGAAUCCUCUAUUUAUAGUUGAAGUCUUCAGCACUCCUAUCAGUAAUGAACAAAUCCAGCAGGAAAAAGUCACCAAGGAUAUAGCUGAACCAAACAGGAUGAUUAAUCAACUAAAUCUAAGUAACAUUUAUGUACUAUGGUGGGGGAAAAAGGGAGAGAUGAAGAUGUGGAGCACAGGAUUUUUAGUAGUAAACCAUAAUAUAAAUUAUAGACUUUGGUAGAUAAUGAUGUGUCAGUAUUGGUUCAUCAAUUAUAACAAAUGUACCACAGUGAUGUGGAAUAUUAAUGGUGGGGUAAGCUGUGUUUGCAUGUGUUUGGGAGGGUCUUUUGGAACUCUGUAGUUUUGGGCUCAGUUUUGUUAUGAACCUAAAGCUGCUGUAAAAAAUAAAGUCUGCUAAUUUUUUAAAAUGCAUUUGGAACCCAAUUGUUUCUGAGGGUAUUCUAUAGUUUCUUUUUUGUAGAGGUAUUUCAUCUGUAUUAUUGAUGUAUUACUACUAGGGAAAAAUAUAGACUUAUUUUGCUCUGAUAUUAAAGUUGACAUUGGGCCCGGUUUGGUGGCUCAUGCCUGUAAUCCCAGCACUUUGGGAGGCUGCAGCAGGCAGAUCAGUUGAGGCCUAGAGUUCGAGACCAGUCUGACCCACAUGGUGAAACCCCAUCUCUACUAAAAAUACAAAAAUUAGCCGGGCAUGGUGGUGUGUGCCUGUAAUCCCAGCUACUAGGGAGGCUGAGGCUCAAAAAUCACUUGAACCUGAGAGGCAGAGCUUGCAUUCAGCCGGAUAGCGCCACUGCACUCCAGCCUGGACAACAGAGGGAGACUCUGUCUCCAAAAAAAAAAGUUGACAUUGGGCCACGCAUGGUGGAUCAUUCCAUAUAGUCCCAGCACUUUGAGAGGCUAAGGCAGGAGGAUCACUUUAGGCCAGGAGUUUGAGACCAGUCUGUGAAACAUAGUGAAACCCUGCUUCUAAAUAAAUAAAGUUGACAUUGUAUGAAAGUAUAUUUAUUGCUAAAUGUCAUUUAUCCAUGUAUGUUUGUUGUAAUCACCAAGCCCUCAUUUUGAAAUACCACUGUAAUAAACUAAAAGCUUAGUGCAAAAAGCUAUGUUUUACCUACCAAAGAGUAUCAGGAACUGACUUUCUGUGGUUUAUUUUUAGUACCAACCUUAAAUAUUGUUCUUUUCAAGCAGCAAGAAUAAAUUAUUGGUUGUAUAAAUAUGAAAUUUUAGGGGUCUUAUUUAGGGCUAAAAGACAGACUUUGAGGCUGAUUAAUAUCAAGGAUUUUUUUCUUCAAAUAUUAAGUUCCCAAUUUCAGUUAAUUAAUUAGCAGUUUACUAAAAAAUGGUAUAAUCUUGAGUUUUAUUCUAUUUAUUUAUUUUAAAACAACAGUAAUUUAGCUCUUGAAUCUGAACUUUAGGCAGAGCUAAGAGGAAAAGUUCCUUUCCCUAAGGUGUGUGCCUGAUUGGGGGCUGAAGGAUCUACUUCCAACAUGUCUUAUUCAUCUGACUGGCAAUUUGAUGCUUGCUAUUGGCUGUGAGCUCAGCCAAGACUGAGGGGUGAAGGCCGGAGUUCUUUUGACAUGACACUCCAUAAGCUGUUUUCAGCAUAGUGCCUAGGUUCUAAGAGAGACAAAGGCAAAGUUGUCAGUUUCUUAAGACUUGAGCCAGAAAAUUGGCAUAGCAUCACUUUUGCUGUAAUUUUUUAAAAAGUGGAUGCAUAUUUUGAUACAGGCAUACAAUGUGUAAUAAUCACAUCAGGGGAAAUGGGGUGUCCAUCACCUCAAGUAUUUAGACUUUGUGUUACAAACAGUUAUACUCUUUUAGUUACUGUAAAAUAUGCAAUUAAAUUAUUGCUGACUAUAGCCACCCUGUCAUGCUAUCAAAUACUAGGUCUUACUCAUUUUUUCUGUAUUUUUGUACCCAUUAAUGAUCCCUACUUCCCCUGUCCCCACCUCCCACUAUCCUUCCCAGCCUCUGGUAACCAUCUGUCUACUCUGUAUCUCCCUGAGUUUAAUUGUUUUAAUUUCCAUCUCCCACAAAUAAGUGAAAAUGGGCCAGGCAUAUAAUCCCAGCACUUUGGGAGUCGAGGUGAGUGGACCAGUUGAGCUCAGGAGUUUGAGACCAGCCUGGGCAACAUAGUAAGACCUCAUCUCAAGUAAUAAUAAUAAUCAACUGGGUAUGGUGGUCUGUACCUGUAGUCCCAGUUACUCAGGAGGCUAAGGUGAGAGGACUGUUUGAGCCCAGGAGGCAUAGAUUGCCCUGAGCCAAGAUCGUGCCACUACAUUCCAGUCUGGGCAAUAGUGCAACCCUGUCUCUGGAAAAAAAAAAAAAAAAAGAGAGAGAGAGAGAACACAUGAUAUUUGUCUUUCUGUGCCUAGCUUAUUUCACUUAACAUAACGACCUCCAGUUCCAUUGAUGUUGUUGCAAAUGUCUGGAGCUCAUUUCUUUCUUUUUUUUUUUUGAGAUGGAGUUUUGCUCUUGUCCCCCAGGCUGGAGUGCAAUGGCACCAUCUCGGCUCACUGCAACCUCCGCUUCCUGGGUUCAAGUGAUUCUCCUGGGAUUUUCCCUCUGGAGUCCCCUUCCAUGAACACUACCUUCGUGGAAGCCUGUCUUCCCCUCCUAAACUCCGUGUCUCUCUAUUCCCUUCCAGUCAGUGUGGAAGCUGCUUUCUUCUCCUGGAUUUCAUCUUUCUGGAUUAUCUCACUCAGUGUGAGAGUUAGCUGUUUCUUUCUCUCUCCUUCACCUGUUUCUCUCUCUCUCUCUCUAAAAAAAAAAAAAAAGUGAUUCUCCUGCCUCAGCCUCCCAAGGAGCUGGGAUUACAGGCCCCUGCCACCACGCCCGGCCAAUUUUUUUGUAUUUUUAAUAGAGGUGGUGUUUCACCAUGUUGACCAGGCUGGUCUUGAACUCCUAACUUCAGGUUUUGCACCCACCUGGGCCUCCCAAAGUGGUGGGAUUACAGGUGUGAGCCACCACACCCAGCCCCGGAGCUCAUUCUUUUUUAUAGCUGAAUAGUACUCCAUUGUGUAUAAACACCAUAUUUUCUAUAUCCAUUUGUCUGUUGAUGGACACUUAGAUUGCUUCUGGAUCCUGGCUGUUGUGACGAGUGCUGCAAUAAACAUGGAAGUACAGGUAUCUCUUCGAUAUCCUGAUUUUCUUUCUUAUGGGUAUAUACCUAGCAGUGGGAUUGCUGGACUAUAUGCUAGCUCUAUUUUUAGUUUUUUGAGGAACUUCCAAACUGUUUUCUGUAGUAGCUGUACUAAUUUACCUUCCCACCAACAAUGUACAAGGGUUCUCUUUUCUCUGUAUCCUCAUCAGAAUUUGUUAUUGCCUAUCUUUUGAAUAUGAGACAUUUUAACUGGGAUGAUAUCUCACUGUAGUUUUGAUUUGCAUUUCUCUGAUGAUCAGUGAUGUUGAACAUCUUUUCAUAUAUCUGUUUGCCUUUCAUAUUUCUUUUGAGAAAUGUCUAUUCCGAUCUUUUGCCCGUUUUUAAAUUGGAUUAUUAGAUUUUUCCUGUAGAGUUGUUUGAACCCCUUUAUAUCCUGGUUAUUACUCUCUUCUCAGAUCGAUAGUUUACAAAUAUUUUCUCCCAUUCUGUGGAUUGUCUCUUCCCUUUGUUGAUUGUUUCAUUUGCUGUGCAGAAGCCUUAAUGUGAUCCCAUUUGUCCACGUUUGCUUUGGUUACCUGUACUUGUGCAGUAUUUACUCAAGGAAUCUUCGCCCAGUCCAAUGGCCUGGAGUUUCCCCAGUGUUUGUUUUCUUGUAGUAGUUUCAUAGUUUGAGGUCUUAGAUGUAAGUCUCUAAUCCAUUUUGAUUUGAUUUUUUUAUAUGGCGAGAGAUAGGGUCUAGUUUCAGAUCUUCUGCAUUAUUGAUAUCCAUCUUGCCUAGCACUACUUAUUGAAGAGACUAUCUUUUCUCCAUUUUGGCACUUUUGUCAAAAAUGAGUUCACCGUACAUGUAUGGAUUUAUUUCUGGGUCCUCUGUUCUGUUCCACUAAUCUGUGUAUCUGUUUUUAUGCCAGUACCAUGCUCUUUUGGUUACUGUAUUAGUCUGUUUUCACACUGCUGAUAAAGACUGGGAAGAAAAAGAGGUUUUAAUGGACUUACAGUUCCACAUGGCUGGGAGGCCUUAUAAUCAUGACAGAAAGUGAAAGGCACAUCUCAUAGGAUGGCAAACAAAAGAAGAAUGAGAGCUUGUGCAGGGAAACUUCCCUUUACAAAACCAUCAGCUCUCAUGAGACUUACUCACUAUUAUGAGAACAGCAUGGGAAAGACCUGCCUCCAUGAUUCAUUUACCUCCCAUUGAGUCCCUCCCAUAACACAUGGGAAUUCAAGAUGAGAUUUGGGUGGGGACACAGCCAAACCAUGUCAGCUCUGUAGUAUAAUUUGAAGCCAGGUAAUGUGAUUCUACCAGUUUUGUUCUUUUUGCUCAGGGUAGCUUUGGCAAUUCUGGGUCUUUUGUGCCUCCUUACAAAUUUUAGGAUUUUUUUUUCUAUUUCUUUGAAGAGAAUGUCAUUGGUAUUUUGAUAGGGAUUGCAUUUAAUCUGUAGAUUGCUUUGGCUAGUAUGGACAUUUCAACAGUAUUGAUUCUUCCAACCUGUGAACAUGGAAUAUUUUUCCAUUUUUUUUAGAGUUGUCUUCAAUUUCUUUCACAGUUGUUUUAAAACAGUUUUCAUUAUAGAGAGCUUUCACUUCUUUGUUUAAGAUAAUUCCUAGGUACUUAAUUUUAUUUGUAGCUGUUGUAAAUGGGAUUACUUUCUUGAUUUCUUUUUCAGAUUGUUCACUCUUGGCAUAUAGAAAUACUGAUUUUUGGCCUGGCACAGUGGCUUAUGCCUGUAAUCCCAGUGCUUUGGGAGGCUGACGUGGGUGGAUCACGAGGUCAGGAGAUCGAGACCAUCCUGGCCAACAUGGUGAAACCCUGUCUCUGCUAAAACUACAAAAAAAUUAGCUGAGUGUGGUGGCAUAUGCCUGUAGUCCCAGCUACUUGGGAGACUGAGGCAGGAGAAUUGCUUGAACACAGGAGGUGGAGAUUGCAGUGAGCUGAGAUUGCACCACUGCAGCCUGGGUGACAGUGCAAGACACCAUCUCAAAAAAAAAAAAAAAGAGAAAUGCUACUGAUUUUUGUAUGUUAAUUUUGUAUCAUGCAACUUUACUGAAUAUAUCAGUUCUGAUUUUUUUUUUUUGGUAGAGUAGGUUUUUCCAAAUACAAGAUCAUAUCAUCUGCAAACAAGGACGGUGUGACUUCUUCCCUUCCAGUUUGGAUGCCCUUUAUUUCUUUCUCUUGUCUGAUUGCUUUAGCCAAGACUUUCAGUAUUAUGUUGAAUAAUUGUGGUGAAAGUGAGCAUAUUUGUGGUGUUCCACAUCUUAGAGGAAAGUCUUUUAGUUUGCCUCCAUUCAGUAUGAUACUAGCUAUGGGUCUGUCAUAUAUGGCUUUUAUUAUAUUAAGAUAUGUUCUUUCUAUCCUUCUUUUUUCCAGUUAGCACUAGCCAUCUAAUCCCCAGUUUUUUGACAGUUUUCAUCAUGAAGGGAUGUUGAAUUUUAUCAAAUGCUUUUUCAACAUCAGUUUAAAUGAUCAUAUGUUUUUAUCCUUCAUUAUGUUGAUGUGAUGUUUCACAUUGAUUGAUUUGUGUAUUUUUAACCAUCCUACCAUUCCUGGGAUAAAUCCCACUUGGUCAUGAUGAAUGAUCUUAAGGUAUUAUUGAAUUCAGCUUACUAGUAUUUUGUUGAGGAGUUUUGCAUCAAUGUUCAUCAGAGAUAUUGGCAUGUAGGUUUCUUUUUUAAAUUUUUUAAUGUAUCUUUGGUUUUGGUAUGAGGGUAAUACCGGCCUUGUAGAAUAAAUUUAGAAGUAUUUUUACUUCCUCUAUUUUUUGGAAUAGUUUGAGUAGGAUUGGUAUUAGUUCUUCUUUAAACGUUUGGGAAAAAUCAGCGGCAAAGCCCUCAGGUCCUGGGCUCUUUGCUGGGAGACUUUUUAUCAUGGCUUUUAAUACAUGUUGAUCUUGUUAGCAGUCUGUUCAGGUUUUGGAUUUCUUCAUUGUUGAGUCUUGUUUGGUUGUAUAUAUUGAGGAAUUUAUUUAUUUCUUCUAGAUUGUCCAAUUUAUUGGCAUAUGGUUGUUCAUAGCAGCCUCUAAUGAUCCUUCGGUAUCUUUGGUAUCAGUUGUAAUGUUUCUUUUUUCAUCUCUGAUUUUAUUUAUUUGAAUCUUCUGUUUUCUUAAUUUGGCUAAAGGUUUGUCAAUCCUGUUUAUCUUUUCAAAAAAACUGCAUUUUGUUGAUCUUUGGUAUAGUUUUCUUCAUUUCAAUUUCAUUUAUUUUUGCUCUGAUCUUUAUUAUUCUUUUGCUUCUACUGACUUCAGGUUUGGUUUGCUCUUGCUUUUCUAAUUCUUUUAGAUGUAUCUUUAGUUGUUUAUUUGAAGUUUUUCCUCUUUUUGACAUGGGCACUUACAGCUAUAAACUUCCUCCUUAGUACUGCUUUCACUGUAGCCCAUAGGUUUUGGUUUGUUGUUGUUGACGUUGUUUCUUGAGACGGAGUCUGUUUCACCCUGGAGUACAGUGGCACGAUCUUGGCUCACUAUAACCUCCACCUCCCAGGUUCAAGCAAUUCACCCACCUCAGCCUCCUGAAUGGCUGGAAUUACAGACCUGUGCUACCACACCUGGCUAAGUUUUGUAUUUGUUGUGGAGAUGGGGUUUCAUCAUGUUGGCCAGGUUGGUCUCGAACUCCUGACCUCAGGUGAUCCACCCACUUUAGCUUCCCAAAGUGCUGGGAUUAUAGGCGUGAGCCUCCACGCUCAACAUGUUGUUUUUCCAUCAUUGUUUGUUUCAAGAAAUUUUUAAAUUUUCUUCUUAAUCUCUCUUUUGAUCCAGUGGUCAUUCAGCAGCAUGUUGUUUUCCAUAUGUUUGUAUAGUUUCCAAAAUUCCUCUUGUUACUGAUUUCUAGUUUUAUUCCAUUGUGGUUUAAGAAGAUACUUGAUAUUAUUUCAAUUUUUGAAUGUUUUUUAGACUUAGCUUGUACCCUAACGUAUGGUCUGUCCUGGAGAAUGAUUCAUGUGCUGAGGAAAAGAGUAUAUAUUCUGUAAGCAUUGGAUGAAAUGUUCUGUAAAAUCUGUUAGGUCCAUUUGGUCUGUAGUGAAGAUGAAGUCAAAUGUUUCUUCGUUGAGUUUUGGCUAGAUGAUCUGUCUAAUGCUGAAAGUGGAAUGUUGAAGUUUCCAGCUAUUAUUGUAUUAGGACAUGUCUCUUUAGCUCUAAUAAUAUUUGCUUUAUAUAUCUGGGUGCUCCAGUGUCAGGUGCAUAUUUAAAUAUGUUAUAUAGUUGUGCUGAAUUGGCUUUUUUUUUUUUUUUUAUCAGAUAAUGACCUUUUUUGUCUCUUUUGUAGUUUUAUCUUGAAAUCUGUUUUGUCUAAGUAUAGCUACUUCUGCCCAUUUUGGUUUCUAUUUGCCUAGAAUAUCUUUUCCUAUUCCUUUAUUUUCAGCCUAUGUUUGUCUUUAUAGGUGAAGUGUGUUUCUUUUAGGCUAUAGGUCAUUGAAUCUUGUUUUUUCAUCCAUUCAGCCACUCUGUGUCUUUUGAUUUGAGAGUUUAGUUCAUUACAUUCAAUGUUACUAUUGAUAAAUAAGAACUUACUUAUAUCACGUUGUUAUUUGUUUUCUAGUUUUGUGGUCUUCUCUCCCUUCUUUUCUUCUUUCUUUUCUUCUUUUUAGUGAAAGUGAUUUUCUUUGGUGGUAAGUUUUAAUAUCUUUUUUGUGUGUGUAUUUCUUAUGUCACAGUUUUUAGAUUUGAAGUUACCAUGAGCUUGCAAAUAAUAUCUUAUAUCCCCAUAUUUUAAACUGAUGACAACUUAACGUUUAUAGCAUACAUAAACAAGCAAAAAAGAAAACUACUAAAAACUCUGUAAUUUAACUUUGUCUCCCUGCUUUUUAACUGUUUUUUGUUUCUAUUUUCUAUUUUAUUGUUCUGUCUUAAAAAGUUGUUGUGGUUACUGUUUUUGAUCGGUUCAUCUUUUAGUCUUUCUACUCACAGUGUGAGUAAUUUACAUAUCCCAAUACAGUAUUAUAAUAUUCUAUGUUUUUUCAUAUACCUACUAUUACCAGACAAUUUUCUACCUUCAGAUGAUUUCUUGCUCAUUAACAUCCUUUCCUUUCAGAUUGAAGAACUCCCUUUAGCAUUUCUUAUAGGACAGCUCUGGUGUUGAUGAAAUCCCACAGCUUUUGUUUGUCUUGGAAAAUCUAUUUUCUCUUCAUGUUUGGUGGAUAUUUUCUCCAGAUAAACUAUUCCGGUAUAAAGGUUUUUUUCCCCCCUUCAGCCUUUAAAUAUGCCAAUUUCACCUGGCAUGAUGUUGUAAGCGUUCCACUGAGAAGCCUGCUGCCAGACAUAUUGGAGCUCUAUUGCAUGUUAUUUUGUUUCUUUUCUUUUGCUGCUUUUAGGAUCCUUUAUCCUGACCUUCGGGAGUAUAAUUAUUAAAUGCCUUGAGGUAGUCUUCUUUGUGUUAAAUCUGCUUGAUGUUCUAUAACCUUCUUUUUUAAUAUUGGUGUCUUUCUCUAGGUUGGGGAUGUUGUCUGCUACUAAACUUUCUACACCUAUGUCUCUACUUACCUCCUUUUUAAGGCCAAUAACUCUUAGAGUUGCCCUUUUGAGGUUAUUUUCUAAAUCUUGUAGGUGUGCUUCAUUCUUUCUUUCUUUUCUUUUCUUUUUUUUUUUUUUUGGAGAGCGAAUCUUGCUCUGUCGCCCAGGCUGGAGAGCAUUGGCAUGAUCUCAGCUUACUGCAACCUCGGCCUCCUGGGUUCAAGCAAUUCUUAUGCCUCAGCCUCCCAAGUAUCUGGGACUUCAGGCACGUGCCACCAUGCCUGGCUAAUUUUUUGUAUUUUUAGUAGAGAUGGGGUUUCACCAUGUUGCCCAGGCUGGUUUUGAACUCCAGAGCUCAGGCAAUCCUCCCGCCUUAGCUUCCCAAAGUGCUAGGAUUACAGGCGAGAGCUACCGUGCUCAGCCUCCUUUUCUUUUCUCUUUUGUUUCCUUUGACUGUGCAUUUUCAAAUAGCCUGUCUUCAGGCUCACUAAUUCUUUCUUUUGCUUGAUCAAGUCUUUUAAGAUUCUUUGAUACAUUCUUCAUUAUGUCAAUUGCAUUUUUAAACUCCAGAAUUUCCUUUUGAUUCUUUUUAUUUCCAUUUCAUUGUUAAAUUUAUCUGAAAGAAUUUUGAAUUGCUUCUUUUUUUCUUGAGACGGAGUUUCACUCUUGUUACCCAGGCUGGAGUGCAAUGGCGCAAUCUCAGCUCACCACAACCUCCACCUCCUGGGUUCAGGCAAUUCUCCUGCCUCAGCCUCCUGAGUAGCUGGGAAUACAGGCACGCGCCACCAUGCCCAGCUUAUUUUUUUUUUUUGUAUUUUUAGUAGAGACAGGGUUUCACGCUGUUGACCAGGAUGGUCUCAAUCUCUUGACCUCGUGAUCCACCCACCUCGGCCUCCCAAAGUGCUGGGAUUACAGGCUUGAGCCACCGCGCCCAGCUUGAAUUACUUCUCUAUGUUCUCUUGAAUUUCUUCAAGUUUCCUCAAAACAGCUGUUUUGAAUUUUCUGUCUUAAGGAUCACAUGUCUCUGUCUCUCCGUGAUUGGCCCAUGGUGCUUUAUUUAGUUCAUUUUGGGAGGUUGUGUUUUCCUGUAUGGUCUUGAUGCUUAUGGAUGCUUGUUAGUGUCUAGUCAUUGAAGAAGUAGAUUUUUAUUAUAGUCUUCACUAUUUAGUACAUCUUUUUACUUGUCUUCUUUGAGAAGGCUUUCUAGGUAUUUAAAAAGACAGGGGUGUUGUGAUCUAAGUUGUAUCUGCAUUAAGGGACACCCCAGGUCCAACAUUAUUGAAGUUCUUGCAGACUUGUAGAGGUACCACCUUUGUGGUCUUAGAUAAUAUCUGGAAGAAUUCUCUAUGUUGCCAGGCAGAAACUCGUGUUCUUUUCCCUUUUUCCCAAACAGAGUCUCUUUCUCUGUGCUGGACUGCCUGCAGUUGAGGGAUGGGUGACACAAGGACCCCUGUGGCCACUACCACUGGCACUGUGCUGGGUCAGACCUGAAGAGAGCAUGGCACUGGGUCUUGCCUAAGGCCCACUGUAACCACUACCUGGCUACCGUUCAAGGCCUUGGGCUCUACAAUCAGCAGAUGGUGAAGCCAGACAGGCUUGUGUUUUUCCAUUCAGGGAGGUGAGUUCUCCUGAGCCCUGGUAGGUUCCAGAGAUGCUGUCUGGGAGCCAGGGCCUGGAGUUGUAAACCCUAGGAAUCCACCUGGUGCUCUGUUCUGCUGCAGCUAAGCUGGCACCAAAACCACAAGACAAAGUCUUCCCCAUUCUUUCCUCCUCUUCUCCCAGACAGAAGAGCCUCUCCCUGUGAGGGCCACCACUAUAGACGCAUAGGAAGUACUGCCAGUGUUCAGUUAAGGCCCAAUCGCUUUUCAUUCAGCUUGUGGUGAAUGCUUCCAGACCUGUGACUCACCCUGUCAGGCAGCUGGCUCCUCUCUGUCCCAGGAUAGGUCCAGAAAUGCCAUCUAAGAGCUAAGACCUGAAAUUGAGGACCCUGGGUCUGUUUGGUGCUCUUCCCCACUGUGGUACAGCUGGUACCUAAGCUGGAAGACAAAGUCCCCUUUAUUUUUUCUCUCUACUUUUCUCAAACAGGAGAAUCUCCUCAUAGCCAUGAUAGCUGGGAAUAUGGUAGGUCACACCUGAAGCCAGCAUGUUUCAUGGUCUUACUCAAGGCUCAUAGCAUGUUCUGCCUAGUUACCACUGCUGAUUAUUCAGGGCUGAAAGGCCCUUUAUUCAGUAGGUGAUGAAUCCCACCAGGAGUGGAUCCUUCCCUUAUGGCAGCCAGUUCCCAUCUGGCCCAGUGUUUGUCUAAAAAUGUCCAGGAGCUAGGGCUUGGAGGGGGGCCUUCAGGACUCUACUUGGUGUGCUGUCCUACUUUGGCUGAGCUGGUGUCCACAUUGCAAAACAAAGUCUUUACUCUUUUCUCUCCUCUCCUCAAGUGGAAGGAAGGAGUCUCUUUUGGAGCUGUGAGCUGUGCUGCCUGGGGUUGGCAGAGGGGUGAUGCAUGCAUACUCUUAGCUACCCCAGCUGGUGUCUCACUAGGUCAUGUGUCCCCUGAGUUCACAGGCUCUGAUCCUAGCACAGCUUUUCGAGUUUCAUAUAAGUUUCAGUCCUUGUGGCCUUGAGUGCCUUUUGUUUAUUGAGGACUCCAGAGCUCUUUAGCCUUCUGUGAGGCUUUCUGAACUACAGUUCUGACUUCUGCGAUGGGCAAUCCCACUCUGGCUAGAGCCAAUCUAAAUGCAUCCUCUGUGGACAUUGGCUGAGUUCUGCCUGGUGUUGGCAGUACCGAGUUCCAUGUAAAGUUCCACAAAUGCUGCACUCCCCCUCCCACAAAUGCACAGAUUCUCUCAACUGCUGCUGGCAAAUAGGGGAAGGGUGGUGUCAGAAAUUGAAGGGCCUUUCCUACCCACUUCAGUUUGUUGUUCUGCAGUGUGAAGUUAAAACCAGGUAUUAUGAUCACUCACCCGAUUUUUGGUUCUUGUGAAGGUGCUUUUUUAAUGUAGAUAGUUGUCAUGUUUGGUGCGAGACAGGCAGGACAAUUGGUGGAGGCUUCUGUUUGGCCAUCUUGCUCGGCCCCCCAGGGCUUAGACUAGUACAUUUGUUAAACAAUGAAUGAACCAAGACUGGCACAUAUUUACUACUCAAAGUCUGUAAUUUAUCUUAGGGUUCACGCUUGAUAUUGUAACUUCUAUGGAUUUUGACAUACGUAUAAUGACAUGCAUCUGCCAAAUACAGCAACUGCCAUGUAGUAUCAUACAGAGUGGUUUCACUGUCCAAAAAUCUCUGGGAUCCACCUGUUCAUCCCUCCAUUUACCCACCCCCAAACCCUGGUAACUAUUGAUUUUUUGUUUGUUUGUUUUUUUGAGAUAGAGCCUCACUCUGUUACCCAGCUGGAGUGCAGUGGCACGAUUUUGGCUCACUGUAAUCUCCACCUUCUGGGUUCAAGUGAUUCUCCUGCCUCAGCCUCCUGAGUAGCUGGGAUUAUAGGUGUAUGCCACCAUGCCCGGCUAAUUUUUUGUAAUGUUUUCUUUUUGAUAGAAAUUAGGUUUCAGCAUGUUGGUCAGGCUGGUCUCGAACUCCUGACCUCAAGUGAUCCACCCACCUCAACCUUCCAAAGUGCUGGGAUUACAGGCAUGAACCACAACACGCAGGCAAUUGAUCUUUUCACUCUCUUCCAUAGUUUUGCUGUCCCUUCAACAUGUAUUUAUAGAGCACCUACUAUGUGCUACUCAGUUUUGUAGACCUCGGGGAUUAAAUAUUAAAUAGGAGGACAAUGACCUUGGAGCAAGAUAUAGGCCUGGCAGUUACCCUGCAUUGUAAUAAAUACCACUAGUUUACUAGGCAGUCUAGAAAGAAGCUCCUGUCCCAAAUUUGGGAGUUAAGGAAAGACUUCAUGUAAAAACAGAUCUGUUUCAAAGCCUGAAGAAAGAGGUGGUGUCAACAAGGUAAGGGGAUAAAGGAAUAGCAACUAAGAUUUUCUGGGCAAAGAGAGCAGCAUAGGCAAAGGCCAAGAGGAAAGAGAUAGAAUGCACACUUAGGAGCUAAAAGGAGUUCAAUAGAGAUGGUAGGAAGAACAAAUGAUUGGAAGAUUGUAAGAGGUAGGGGGAUAUGAAGAGAAAUGAAACUAGAGAUGGGGAGAAGGUGUCUGACUGUGAUUCACCUUGUAAACAAUGUUGAAGAAUUAGAAUUUAAAUCUAGAGGUCAGAGAAAUUCUUAUGUAUUUUUUUUUCCUUAAAUUAAGCCUUUAUUUAGAGAUAAUUAUAGUUUGACAUGGAGUUGCAAGAAAUAAUACAGAGACUGGGCACACUGCCUUACAUCCGUAAUCUCAGUAUUUGGGGAGGCUGAGGUGGAAGGAUUGCUUGAGUCCAGGAGUUCAAGACCAGCCUGGGCAACAUAGUGAGCUCCUGUGUAUUAGUCAGUUUUCAUGCUGCUGAUGAAGACAUACCCGAGACUGGGUGAUUUACAAAACAAAGAGGUUUAUUGAACUUACAGUUCCAGAUAGCUGGGAAGGCUCACAAUCAUGGCAGAAGGUGAAAAACAUGUCUUACAUGGUGGCAGACAAGAGAAGAGUACAUGUAGGGAAACUCCCAUUUUUAAAACUGUCAAAUCUUAGGAGAUUUAUUCACUAUCAUGAGAGCAGCACAAGAAAGACCCGUCCCCAUGAAUCAGUUAUCACCCACUAGCUCCCUCCCACAACAUAUGGGGAUAAUGGGAGCUAUAAGAUGAGAUUUGGUUGGGGACACAGAGCCAAACCAUAUCACUCUGUCUUUACAGAAAAAAAAAAAAAGAUUAGCCAGGCAUGGUGGUACAUGCCUCUAGUCCCAGCCACUUGGAAGACUGAGGUGGGAGGAUUGCUUGAGUCCAGGAGGGCAAGGCUGUAGUGAGCCAUGAUCAUGUCACUGCACUCCAGCCUGGAUGAGAGAGUAAGAUCCUAUCUCAAAAGAAAAAAAAAGUGAUAAAAUACAUUUUGAGUUUUCAUUCACAUUCUUCUUUUUCUUUUAGUAUCCUAGCCUAAUUUUUUUUUUUUUUUUUUUUUUUUUGCGGGGGUGGGCGGGCAGUGCUCUGAGCCCAUGCUAAUUUGCUAGGCUAGAUUUGGCAAACAGAAAUCAGCACCCUGAAUUAUAUUCUACUCUUAUCUGAAUGAAGUUUAUGGUUUGUGAAUGUAUGUGAGAGAAUUUUAUAAAGCAAUAAGUUGGGAGCUUUAAAUAAUUCUGGACUUAAUGUUGAUCUGCAAUACUUACAAUUUUUAUUUAAAAAGUUAUUGUUACAAUAUGAAUGCUUGUUGGAAUAUGAAUUCUACUUCAAUGUGUUAGAUGCUAUAUUUGCAGAGAUACAUAGACCCUGCCCUCAAAGUUUAGACUGUGUUGGGUCAAAUAGACUUUUUAACAUAAGUUCAUUUCAUUGAGUUAAGUGCAGGGAUGGAGAUAUUAGGGCAUUUUUGGAAGAGAAAGGGGCACUUCCUAGGAGAGAAGAGUAUUGGGGAAGACAUACUUGAACUGAGUCUUGAAUGGUGAAUAGAAGUUAAUCUGGUGAAGGUGAUGAUAGGACAUUUCAGAACAUUUUGAAUAGCACCAACAGAGGUACAUAGAAAGAAGCAGCAUAUUGAGAUUGUUAGUUGGGGAAGUACAAACAGGUUAGUGCUGUUUGAGUGUCUAAGUGUAGGAGGCAGGAGGUUGUUAAAAUACACACUAAAAGAUAAGCCAGGACCUGUUGUGUAGAGUUUGAACUUGAUGGUCAGUAGUUCUCAAACGUAUCUAGCCCAGUGUUUCUUUUUUAUAGUAAAUGUUUUCUAAUUAUAAUUAACACAUAAUUUCUAAUAUGUCAUAAAUGUAACACAAAGGAAAAGUAUAAGAAAUCUAAAAAACAUAAUUUGAAAUAUAUAUUGUAAAAUAUAAAUGUUUAAGCAUUAUUUCAUUAGAACAUGUAAUGAAUUUAUAAGAUGCUUGUACCUGUACACAGAAUUACUGUGAAUGCACAGCAACAAAUGCAGGUUUAUAAAAUGUGUUACAUUGGUAGCUAAGAUAUUUUAAAUGGUAUUGUCACUGGUAAUGAGAUUUUUUUUCUUUUUCUUUUUUUUUUUUUUUGAGAUGGAGUUUCGUUCUUGUUAUCUAGGCUGGAGUGCAAUGGUAUGAUCUUGGCUCAUCACAACCUCUGCCUCCUGGCUUCAAGCGAUUCUCCUGAUUCAGUCUCCUGAGUAGCUGGGAUUACAGGCAUGCGCCACCACGCCUGGCUAAUUUUUGUAUUUUUAGUAGAGAUGGGGUUUCUCCAUGUUGGUCAGGCUGGUCUUGAACUCCCAACCUCAGGUGAUCUGCCCACCUUGGCCUCCCAAAGUGCUGGGAUUACAGGCAUGAGCCACCAUGCCCGGCCUGAGAUUUUUCUUUUUCUUUUUUUUUUCAUGUAACAAGAACCUAGUUUUAGUUGAGAGAUUUUUCAAAAUACUUAACAUCCUGUGUGUAAAGUUCUGACCAAGUGAAAGUACAAGUUGUAUUAAUUGCAUUUCUGGACAAUUUGGUAUUUAUUAAAACCAUGAAAAAAAUACUUUUUUAUGUAAAACAAAAUAAUUUCUAGGUUCAAGUAGUUAUAAACAGGUUUUUCCACACAAUGUCAGAUGGGACAUUGCAAAGUCACGUGAGAGACAGGUCUGUCCUGUGGGAUGUUCUUGGUCAGGGGUCUGCAAACUUCAGGCCAUAGUUCACGCUGCAUGUUUUUAUAUAGCCAUGAGCUAAGAAUAGUUUUGUAUUUUUAAACAGUUUGACACAAAAGGGAAGAAUAUGCAACAGAUGGUUACACCUUUUACAGAAAGCUUGCCAACUCCUGUUUCUUGGGCAUUGUAGCAUGCCGAGCAUCCCUAGCUCCUGCUCACUAGAUGCUAGCAGCACUCCCUCCAUCCAGUCACUGUGAAACCAAAUGUAGCCUCCACUAUUUCUCAGGUGCCUUUGGGAAGGCAAUACUACCUGGUUGAGAACCGCUGCUCUGGUUUAUCAGUUUUCAAUUUUUUAUUCCUCUGCGACACAUUUAACAGAGUCAUACAUGCAUGAUAUAUUUCCAUGCAGAGUUCCUGUGUUUGUAAUUUUCUGUUUUUCUUCCAUUCAAGCAAACGAUUAAAAUGAGGGGGGUAAUUGUUUAACAUAAGGAUACCUUUAAAAACGCUCUGAUUUAUGCUUAUAAAAAUUUUUACAAACUUCAAUACAUAUACUACUACUACUGCUAACUGUGUUAUGUACUACUUAUAUCAUACCUCAUAGGAGAGUGCUUCACACCAUCCUGCCUGACCACCACUGAAGCAAGUAAUAGCCAGCCAUGGAAUAACGUUAAACAAGCAAGUGCCAGCAUUCUAUAUUGAUGUUUUAGAUAGAAAACUUUGAUGGUAGUAUAGAAGAUAGACUUGAGGGAGUCCAUGUUUAGGUACAAGAUAGUCAGGGCUUAUACCAGUUAGUAGGGACGGACCAGAGGGAACAUAUUAUUAGAGAAUUAUUUCAGAUAUCACAAUCAGUAGAACUUGACAAUUGAAAGUUACAGGCUUUUGUUUUUCUUUUCUUUUUUUUUUAUUUUGAGACAGUCUCGCUCUGUUGCCCAGGCUUGAAUGCAGGGGUGCGGUCUCAGCUAACUGCAACCUCUGCCCCCUGGGUUCAAGUGGUUUUUCUACCUCAGCCUUCUGAGUAGCUGGGAAUACAGGUGCAUGCCAGCACACCCUGCUAAUUUUUUAUAUGUUUAGUAGAGAUGGAGUUUCACCGUGUUAGCUGGAAUGGUCUUGAUCUCUUGACCUUGUGAUCUGCCUGUCUCGGCCUCCCAAAGUGCUGGGAUUACAAGUGUGAGCCACUGUGCCUGGCCUCUUUUUUUUCUUUUUCUUUUUUGAACUCAUUUUACUGCCAGAGACAUUCAUUUUUAACACUUUGUUACCUGCUAGAAUCACUUUUAAACAAUACAAAUGCCUAGGCUUCACUCUAUAAUUCCUAGAAAUCAGAGUUCUGGGAUAAUAUCUGGGCACUGAUAUUUAAAAUUGUACUUUAGGAUUCUAAUGUGCAGCCAGUGUUGAAAAUCACUGAUUCAAGAUUUGAGAGAGAAUAAUAAAGGAUGAGUACCAGACUGUCAGCUUAGGCUACCGGUAGAUGGAAGUGGCGUGCUGUGAACCAUAUCUGUUUUAUGGUAGCUAUUUAAAUAUUUCUUAAAUGAAAAUAGAUGACUUUGAACCCAAAUCAAAAUCAGUUUCUCAUUUAAUUUUUGAUUGUCAUAAAUUUGGAUGAGUUGACCCUAGUUCAACAUAUUAUUGACUGGAACCCAACCAAAAUAAUUUCUGUCCCAGAUGAAAUUAUAUCAGAAUGGAAAUCUCUUGAUAUUAUUUGAGAAAAACAAUGAUAGACUGGACAAAGAAAAUAUGGCACAUAUACACCAUGGAAUACUGUGCAGCCAUAAAAUACAAUGAGUUUGUGUUCUUUGUAGUGACAUGGAUGAACCUGGAAACCAUCAUUCUUAGCAAACUGACACAAGAACAGAAAAUCAACCACCACAUGUUCUCACUCAUAGGCUGGUCUCAAUCUCCAGGGCUUGCACAAUCCUUCUGCCUCAGCCUCCGGAGAAGCUGGGACUACAGGCACAUAACACCACACCUGGCCAGAUCCGGCAUUCUAAACCACAUCUUGCAUCAUGAUUUCCCAGUUACCUCGCCUUUAGUGGCUCCUCAUGCCUGGAGGCCUGCAGAGAGGGAAGAUGAUGGAAUGGCCACUGGUUGGAGAGACAUGGUCUUGCUAUGUUGUCCAGGUUAGACUUGAACUCCUGGGCUCCAGCUGUCCUCCUGCCUCAGCUUCCCAAGUAGCUAGGACUA
Callithrix jacchus (white-tufted-ear marmoset) is the source of this 18143-nucleotide non-coding RNA. NCBI's taxonomy places the organism in Eukaryota, Metazoa, Chordata, Mammalia, Primates, Cebidae. The record is from RefSeq and is a predicted model, not a curated record.